UUAUAUAUAAAAUUAAACUAUAAAAUAUAAAUGUAUUAGAAAAUGAUACAAUUUGCAAAACUUUUAUAUAUAAAAAAUAAUUCUUAAAUUUUAAAAAUUACUAUUUUAAAAAAAAUUACGGGACGGGUAAAAAAAUUACAGAACGGGUUUUAUUUUGGAAUUGGGUUAUAUGGUAGAUGUAUUUGAAUCAAUAUUUAUAAAAUUUUAAAAUAUGUUUAAUAUGCUGUUUUAAUAGGGGUUAAAACUUCAAAUUUUUAACAAUUGUCUCAUGGAUUCGUGGUAUAGCGUUACUUAAUAACAAUUAUAAACUGUAAAAUAUAAAUAUUUUAUAAAA
This 334-nucleotide small RNA is filed under the name Arabidopsis thaliana (thale cress). RNAcentral describes it as "ATSL020100". The record is from RNAcentral. Lineage: Eukaryota; Viridiplantae; Streptophyta; Magnoliopsida; Brassicales; Brassicaceae.